RNAcentral lists this transfer RNA (78 nucleotides) under Nitrospira sp. RNAcentral's name for it is "tRNA-Glu". It matches the Rfam family "tRNA". From Rfam's summary of the family: Transfer RNA (tRNA) molecules are approximately 80 nucleotides in length. Lineage: Bacteria; Pseudomonadati; Nitrospirota; Nitrospiria; Nitrospirales; Nitrospiraceae. The record is from RNAcentral. RNAcentral also lists the same sequence under 8 other names.
GGUCCCAUCGUCUAGGCUGGUCUAGGACGGCACCCUCUCAAGGUGCAGACACGGGUUCAAAUCCCGUUGGGAUCACCA